RNAcentral lists this ribosomal RNA (236 nucleotides) under uncultured bacterium. RNAcentral describes it as "partial 16S ribosomal RNA". It matches the Rfam family "Bacterial small subunit ribosomal RNA", at positions 15 to 241 of the family's 1533-position model. The record is from RNAcentral.
GAUCCUGGCUCAGGAUGAACGCUAGCUACAGGCUUAACACAUGCAAGUCGAGGGGCAGCAUUUUAGUUUGCUUGCAAACUAAAGAUGGCGACCGGCGCACGGGUGAGUAACACGUAUCCAACCUGCCGAUAACUCAGGGAUAGCCUUUCGAAAGAAAGAUUAAUACCUGAUGGCAUAGGAUUAUCGCAUGAUGAUCCUAUUAAAGAAUUUCGGUUAUCGAUGGGGAUGCGUUCCUA